GAUAAACGCUGGCGGCGUGCCUAAUACAUGCAAGUCGAGCGAACGGACGAGAAGCUUGCUUCUCUGAUGUUAGCGGCGGACGGGUGAGUAACACGUGGAUAACCUACCUAUAAGACUGGGAUAACUUCGGGAAACCGGAGCUAAUACCGGAUAAUAUUUUGAACCGCAUGGUUCAAAAGUGAAAGACGGUCUUGCUGUCACUUAUAGAUGGAUCCGCGCUGCAUUAGCUAGUUGGUAAGGUAACGGCUUACCAAGGCAACGAUGCAUAGCCGACCUGAGAGGGUGAUCGGCCACACUGGAACUGAGACACGGUCCAGACUCCUACGGGAGGCAGCAGUAGGGAAUCUUCCGCAAUGGGCGAAAGCCUGACGGAGCAACGCCGCGUGAGUGAUGAAGGUCUUCGGAUCGUAAAACUCUGUUAUUAGGGAAGAACAUAUGUGUAAGUAACUGUGCUCAUCUUGACGGUACCUAAUCAGAAAGCCACGGCUAACUACGUGCCAGCAGCCGCGGUAAUACGUAGGUGGCAAGCGUUAUCCGGAAUUAUUGGGCGUAAAGCGCGCGUAGGCGGUUUUUUAAGUCUGAUGUGAAAGCCCACGGCUCAACCGUGGAGGGUCAUUGGAAACUGGAAAACUUGAGUGCAGAAGAGGAAAGUGGAAUUCCAUGUGUAGCGGUGAAAUGCGCAGAGAUAUGGAGGAACACCAGUGGCGAAGGCGACUUUCUGGUCCGUAACUGACGCUGAUGUGCGAAAGCGUGGGGAUCAAACAGGAUUAGAUACCCUGGUAGUCCACGCCGUAAACGAUGAGUGCUAAGUGUUAGGGGGUUUCCGCCCCUUAGUGCUGCAGCUAACGCAUUAAGCACUCCGCCUGGGGAGUACGACCGCAAGGUUGAAACUCAAAGGAAUUGACGGGGACCCGCACAAGCGGUGGAGCAUGUGGUUUAAUUCGAAGCAACGCGAAGAACCUUACCAAAUCUUGACAUCCUUUGACAACUCUAGAGAUAGAGCCUUCCCCUUCGGGGGACAAAGUGACAGGUGGUGCAUGGUUGUCGUCAGCUCGUGUCGUGAGAUGUUGGGUUAAGUCCCGCAACGAGCGCAACCCUUAAGCUUAGUUGCCAUCAUUAAGUUGGGCACUCUAAGUUGACUGCCGGUGACAAACCGGAGGAAGGUGGGGAUGACGUCAAAUCAUCAUGCCCCUUAUGAUUUGGGCUACACACGUGCUACAAUGGACAAUACAAAGGGCAGCGAAACCGCGAGGUCAAGCAAAUCCCAUAAAGUUGUUCUCAGUUCGGAUUGUAGUCUGCAACUCGACUACAUGAAGCUGGAAUCGCUAGUAAUCGUAGAUCAGCAUGCUACGGUGAAUACGUUCCCGGGUCU
Molecule: ribosomal RNA, 1372 nt
Filed under: uncultured bacterium
Lineage: Bacteria
Description: bacterial SSU rRNA
Rfam family: Bacterial small subunit ribosomal RNA
Source: RNAcentral